This 557-nucleotide ribosomal RNA is filed under the name uncultured Bacteroidales bacterium. RNAcentral describes it as "bacterial SSU rRNA". It matches the Rfam family "Bacterial small subunit ribosomal RNA", at positions 69 to 618 of the family's 1533-position model. Lineage: Bacteria; Pseudomonadati; Bacteroidota; Bacteroidia; Bacteroidales. The record is from RNAcentral.
GCAUGGUCUUAGCUUGCUAAGGCCGAUGGCGACCGGCGCACGGGUGAGUAACACGUAUCCAACCUGCCGUCUACUCUUGGACAGCCUUCUGAAAGGAAGAUUAAUACAAGAUGGCAUCAUGAGUCCGCAUGUUCACAUGAUUAAAGGUAUUCCGGUAGACGAUGGGGAUGCGUUCCAUUAGAUAGUAGGCGGGGUAACGGCCCACCUAGUCUUCGAUGGAUAGGGGUUCUGAGAGGAAGGUCCCCCACAUUGGAACUGAGACACGGUCCAAACUCCUACGGGAGGCAGCAGUGAGGAAUAUUGGUCAAUGGGCGAGAGCCUGAACCAGCCAAGUAGCGUGAAGGAUGACUGCCCUAUGGGUUGUAAACUUCUUUUAUAAAGGAAUAAAGUCGGGUAUGGAUACCCGUUUGCAUGUACUUUAUGAAUAAGGAUCGGCUAACUCCGUGCCAGCAGCCGCGGUAAUACGGAGGAUCCGAGCGUUAUCCGGAUUUAUUGGGUUUAAAGGGUGCGUAGAUGGUGAUUUAAGUCAGCGGUGAAAGUUUGUGGCUCAACCAUAA